This 815-nucleotide ribosomal RNA is filed under the name Flavobacterium sp. RNAcentral describes it as "bacterial SSU rRNA". It matches the Rfam family "Bacterial small subunit ribosomal RNA", at positions 56 to 878 of the family's 1533-position model. Lineage: Bacteria; Pseudomonadati; Bacteroidota; Flavobacteriia; Flavobacteriales; Flavobacteriaceae. The record is from RNAcentral.
UGCAGUCGAGGGGUAGGGGCUUUCGGGCCUUGAGACCGGCGCACGGGUGCGUAACGCGUAUGCAAUCUGCCUUUCACAGAGGGAUAGCCCAGAGAAAUUUGGAUUAAUACCUCAUAGCAUUACAGGAUGGCAUCAUCCUGCAAUUAAAGUCACAACGGUGAAAGAUGAGCAUGCGUCCCAUUAGCUAGUUGGUAAGGUAACGGCUUACCAAGGCGACGAUGGGUAGGGGUCCUGAGAGGGAGAUCCCCCACACUGGUACUGAGACACGGACCAGACUCCUACGGGAGGCAGCAGUGAGGAAUAUUGGUCAAUGGACGCAAGUCUGAACCAGCCAUGCCGCGUGCAGGAUGACGGUCCUAUGGAUUGUAAACUGCUUUUGCACAGGAAGAAACACUCCGACGUGUCGGAGCUUGACGGUACUGUGAGAAUAAGGAUCGGCUAACUCCGUGCCAGCAGCCGCGGUAAUACGGAGGAUCCAAGCGUUAUCCGGAAUCAUUGGGUUUAAAGGGUCCGUAGGCGGUCUUGUAAGUCAGUGGUGAAAGCCCAUCGCUCAACGGUGGAACGGCCAUUGAUACUGCAGGACUUGAAUUAUUGGGAAGUAACUAGAAUAUGUAGUGUAGCGGUGAAAUGCUUAGAGAUUACAUGGAAUACCAAUUGCGAAGGCAGGUUACUACCAAUUUAUUGACGCUGAUGGACGAAAGCGUGGGUAGCGAACAGGAUUAGAUACCCUGGUAGUCCACGCCGUAAACGAUGGAUACUAGCUGUUGGGAGCAAUCUCAGUGGCUAAGCGAAAGUGAUAAGUAUCCCACCUGGGG